Molecule: long non-coding RNA, 276 nt
Organism: Epinephelus lanceolatus (giant grouper)
Lineage: Eukaryota; Metazoa; Chordata; Actinopteri; Perciformes; Serranidae
Source: RefSeq, a predicted model, not a curated record
AAAGCUAGAUAACCGAAAGUAGGAAUGACCUCCAAACGCUCAUCUUCCUGCCUUAAUGAGAAUAAACAAAAAGAAAACACAGGUACAAGAGGACAUCAGGUCUUUGCAGAAAAGGACACGAGUGAUGCUGCUGCCAUGCUGUGGAGGAUCUUUGCAGCUCGUAUCAGUGUGUUAAUCACAUGGAUUCACGAGCCAAUACAUGGGGUUUGGGGAUGAAAGAGGGAUGAAUGACAUGUUUUGCUCUUUACUCAAUAAAAUAAAGCUGAAGAAAUAUGA